GAUGAACGCUAGCGGCAGGCCUAAUACAUGCAAGUCAAGGGGCCAGCAAUGGCACCGGCGCACGGGUGCGUAACACGUACACAACAUACCUUUAAGUGGGAGAUAGCAUCGGGAAACUGGUGGUAAUACCCCAUAAUAUUGCGAUGCGGCAUCACAUUGCAAUUAAAGUUUCGACGCUUAAAGAUUGGUGUGCGUCCGAUUAGCUAGUUGGCGGGGUAACGGCCCACCAAGGCUACGAUCGGUAGGGGGUGUGAGAGCAUGACCCCCCCACAUGGGUACUGAGACACGGACCCAACUCCUACGGGAGGCAGCAGUAAGGAAUAUUGGACAAUGGACGAAAGUCUGAUCCAGCCAUGCCGCGUGCAGGAUGAAGGCGCUCAGCGUUGUAAACUGCUUUUGGAUGGGAAUAAUAACCUCGACGUGUCGGGGCUUGAAGGUACCAUCAGAAUAAGCACCGGCUAACUCCGUGCCAGCAGCCGCGGUAAAGUCAGUCG
RNAcentral lists this ribosomal RNA (494 nucleotides) under uncultured bacterium. RNAcentral describes it as "bacterial SSU rRNA". It matches the Rfam family "Bacterial small subunit ribosomal RNA", at positions 28 to 531 of the family's 1533-position model. The record is from RNAcentral.